Molecule: long non-coding RNA, 11462 nt
Organism: Aedes albopictus (Asian tiger mosquito)
Lineage: Eukaryota; Metazoa; Arthropoda; Insecta; Diptera; Culicidae
Exons: 3
Source: RefSeq, a predicted model, not a curated record
UGUACGGAUCUUUUUUCUUUUGGAUGUGGUGCUGCUCUCGCUCCUCACUCUGACUGACCGAUUGAUUGUGCAGUGCGUGGUGGAAUAUUAUUAUCGAAAAAAAAAAGUCCUAAUCCUGUUUGGGAGGAAUUUUCGGGUUUCGUAAUUGUGGAACGUGAAUCGAGUUCGCGGGCGAUAUCCGUAACCGACCGCGGGAAGUCCGGAAUCCAGUGGUGCGUGCCGUCGUCGCGAGUUUGCGGAUUCUGUGUGCUCUUUGCCUUCAUCGCACUAUUUUGGUUGUGUAUCGCGUAAAUUGCUGCUCCGCGACGAAGGGUUUCUUCUUUCGCUUGGCCGUGUGUUCCGUCGUGGUUUAUUUGUGUAACCUUUGGAUCUUCUGUGGAGCCGGGAUCCGCCCAUUGUUCCGCCGCUGGGAGUUCCCUUCCGGAAGUGUUAUUUUGGUGGUGAUCAGGAUUGUGUGAAUUUCUAUAUUGGAGUGACUCUCUCGGGUGCUGGAAUCGGACUCGGGAACCAUCCGAUGGACACAGGAGUUUGAGGAGUUUUGAUUGGACAAGAACAAUUUUGGACACUGGAAUCGAUCCGCGGAUCAAAAGGACAUCAAGAUGUUCAAUGCGGGCGACUCGUUCGGGUAUCUGUUCGAGAAAAAUGACCCGAUACAUUCGCUCAACAACUUUGCGACCUCGUCGCAGACAAUUGACAGGUAAUGGCAAGCUAACUGUUAGCGAUUAGAGGAGUUGUUGGAUCUUGUUCCUGAAUCAGAAUAGUAGGUGAAGAUUUAAAGUACCAGAAGGUAUUUUUGUACCUACAGAGGUGAUGGAAUAAUAGACACUAGUAACAGAUGAGAUUUAUACUAGCUUUAUCCAGAAGUUACCUUAUGCAGAAGAAAUCCAUCCAAAUAUAUCAGCAUGACCACUUUGCCUCUGUAAAGAUUAGAAGGCAUUGUCGAUCACAUUAUCCGUGAUGUAUAUUUGGCUAACAUGCCUUUUCAUGUGAACUAACAUGGUUAAUUGUUUAGAAGAUUCACUGUGGCAUGUUUACACGAAAUUGUUUACGAUAAUGAGGAAGCAUUUGCAUUUCAAUUGUCAAUUGCGACAACACGUACAUCUUUACUAGCUGGUUGUGUUGUUGACAAGCAUACAUGCUCGAGACAUGACACGUAAGGGUGUCAUUUCAUUUUUACUAAAAGCAUAAAUUAGAACUAUGUUGCAUAUCUUGAUAUGUACUCAAUUUUUUUUUUUCAACAAAACACACAUGAUUUCUGAAUGCAAUAUACCUUCGCCUUAAGGAUCAGUUUAACUUAAGAUAAAAGAGAGCCCAGAAGGAAAUAAAUUCUACCACCACCACGUGUACCGAUCGCUUGCUAGAACAAACAAAUGGUCAUCCUACAAUGUCCUACUGCAGUUGAUUGAUAGCGCAUCCCUCGGUUAGAUGCACACCUUUACAAAAAAAAAGAAGAUGAAUCUUCAACACAUGCCUUUCCGGGGUAACCGACGACCCAACAAUACCUGAAUUAAUGAACGAUCUGCAAAACGUUCCUUUUCUUGGCCAGGGAACCGGUGACGGUCCUGGCUGCAGCUUUCUUCCGCGCCCUUUUCAGACUCUCGGGCGGGCACACAAAAGGUGCACAUUUGAUUCCCGGAUUUUUUUUUUGCAAGCGAACAAUUCGCAGGCCCACCCGAAAACGAAGGCAUUGGAUAAACCAACAAAAGACACGCAUGAUGAGGACGAUCGAGGACGACAAACGAGGAUGAUGAUGAUGGUCGAUGGAUCGAUUUUUCUUCCCCGUGGGCUCACUGAUUUCUUCGUCCUGAUGCAGAUGCAGCCAGCGAACUGGCGAAGGCAAUGUGCAAAUGCAGCUAGUCAGAAUUUUUCCUCGAGCAUUAGUGGUGCUGUGCAUUCGGGUUCGAUCGGCGUAAAAGGCGCCAUUUAAUGGCUGGCAAUUUGUCUUGAAAUUAAUUUACCAUCUCGCAUUAAAAAAAAAUACAAACUAUCUACAGACUCAAUUUUUAAAACGAUUGAAAAUAUAAAAAAAUGUGCUAGCUCAGGGAAAAAUUUUGAAAAAAAAAAAAACAUUAUUGCACAGUAGUUGGCAGGGUUGGAUAAAGUCACGAAAAUGUCAUGAAAAAAUGUCAUGACAUUUUUCAGUUCCUCCUGUGCAAACUUCCGUCCAUGAGCACAAACCUGGAAUAAUGCUGGUUAGUUAUGGAAAAUAAUUAGGUAUGUCGUCCGCAAGUAUUUCUUAAAAAGGGCGUUGAUAUUGUCAAAUAAUCAAAUAACAUUUUUAUGACAUUUCCGAACCCUGGUCCGUGGUUGGCCGAACGUUUUCACAUUCAAAUUUGAACCAUUAACAGAUACUUUCUAAAUAUUAGGAUUUUACGGAGUAGAUUUCAAUUUUUAAAAUCUUGUCAAACGUCGAAUAAUAAAUAAUAAAACGUCGAAUAAUAAAACAUAAAUAUAUUACUAUUUCAUUAUAUAUUCAUUAGUAUAUUUUACUAACAUUACCCAAUGCUUAUCUUCAACGAUGAACAAGUAUAGCUUUAUGUGUUUUCGUUCCCAAAACUGCAAGAAAACGUUUGGUAUGACACUUUCUUGAAACCGUUCGGAGCAUUUCCCCCCGAAUCCUCCCAUUACUUUCAUUCCGACGAUUGUGAUCUUCACUCGCUCUGGCUACGGCAGAUGUCUGUACCUACCAAUGCAAUGCUUUUCGGGAAGGAAAGGUGGUACCUUGCCAGGAGUUGGUAUGGUAUUUGGUGCGUGCUAAAUUGGAUGCGAAAAAGGAAAUUAGCACUGUUUCUGCACAGCGUUCUGCUGGGUGGUGUUUCCAAAGAGAAAAGUGAAGAAUUGCAUUGCAUUGUAGGUCGGUUGUAGGUUUCAUCGUUGUGAAUUAGAUUCGCUAAAUGGGAUGUAGGCUGAGGCGAUCCGACACUUUGAUAGGAAAGGUGUUCAAAAGAAAUUUGAGUUAUUAGGUACAUUUGUGUAAGGGAUGGGAGAUUUAUUGCAUGGAUAUUUAUUAUGCUUUCGUUUCGGGGUGCAAAAUAGGAUUGGAGGAAAUUCAAUUCUUCGAGAAAUGUUUGCGUUUCUGCUGUGAAAACUCACGUGGUUUUCUUCAAGGAAGUAGCUAGUAAUUUACACAAACAGAAAUAUCAACGCUACAAUGUUGUUUUGCAAAAAAAAUCUGUCAAAUUGUAAAACUGUUGUUGUCAGAACCGCAUAACCGUUGCAACGCGUUGUAUGGAUAAAAUGUUGCUGUUUGAUAUAUUGAAAAGUUUUCUUUUACUAGCAUUACAACGGAAUUGUUUUUGCCAUCGACGUUUGAAUCAGGAGACAUAGUUUGUGACAAUAGACGAAACGAUCCCUGAAGAUGGUCUCAAGCAGUAAGUCGAAACCUGCGAAUAGUAUAGCUGUCGUAAAUUAAAGUACUGUAAACAGCGUUUCUCAAACUAUGGGUCGCGAAGGCUUGCGAGAUAUUGCAAUUAAUGUCUUAAUUAACGAAUGUCAAAUGAUUGCUAGUCAUAUUCCAAUAUAAAAAUACUCCCUUGGAGAAUCGCCAGAGUUUCUAGGAAUUCAGUUUCUCCUUAAUUCUGUUCAAACUUUUGUAUUAUAGGUCUUAGUCUGGAAUACAUUGAAUAUUGAAUUAUCUGCGUUCUAAAACCGGUUCUGGAACCAUGAGUUUUCAAUCAAAAUGUUUAAGAUCAGGGUUACAUUUUAAAAUUAACUUGUGUUCUGGAAAAAAAUAAGUUCAAGUUUUUGCUUGCAGUUUGUGUUUUAAGUUAGAUUUACACUCUUGUACCUAGAUUUACACGUCAAGCUCAACACCCAAAAUAUCAAAGAAACUUGAGAGGCAAAGGGGUGUAAGUGACAAAAACCCACAGUCAAGUAAAUAAGUUUUGAAGUUUUUCACCAAUUUUUCAUCCCAUACAAAAUGUAUAGAAUUUCGAAAUCGACCCAACUUUCUCUGUUUUUUGUAAAUUUUCCAAUCAUCGUAGAAAUAAUCUUAAAAAAGCUCUUCAAAGUUUGGAUUCUGAAGAAUUUUUUGAUAUGCUUAGCUCAAAACCGACGAAGUGGUCACUUACACCACUUUGCAUCUGGGCCCCUCAAUUGAAAUACCAAAAAUCAGCACAAGGAAAAAAAAUGCCAAACUUCGACAAGAAACCUUACUUUCUUUACGACCUUCAGUUAGCUGUACUUCGGUAAAAUUCUACUGAAUAUCAAUUUUUAAUUUUUUUUUUCGGAUAUCAGGACAGCUGAAAAGUCAUUUCCACAAAAAUAGAAAUAAAAUAACUGUAUACCUUUUUGGUUAAUAUCAACAAAUCAACAAAAAAUGUGUAUACUAGUUAACAGUGUUUCAACAAAUAAAAUAAGUGUGCAUGAAGGAUGAGAAUAGAGAUAUCAAGGAGAUUCAUCUGACCAUCAAGCAACACUAUAAUUCUAGAUACUUUGAAAUUCUGCAGAAGCAUGAAAUUGCCGUUAUAUCUUCAUAGACUUUGUAAAAAUUGUAUUUUUUUUUGUUUAUUUCUAAAAUGUGUAAGAGAAUACAUAAGACUUGUUCUGUAGCGUUGCAUUGGAGUCAGACUGGUUAAAUAUAUUAGAAAUGUGGAAACUGAUCUCAAAUUCUUUAGACCCCUUAGAGUUUACCGAAGCUGAACACUUGAGCACUUUAAUCUUGCUCAGAUUUUUCCAAAGAACGAAAAGAGCACUGUAAAUAUAAAAAAAAAACAUAUUUUUAAGUUUGUGUGCUACGUAACGAACUCAUGAAAGUGAUUAAGUCAAUGAUUAAUUGUAUUUAUUUAAAAAAACCAGGUCGAAUUUGCAGAUUUUUUUAUGAAUUUUUUAUGCAAAUGCUGGUGGGUCGCCAAAUCCUAUAAAAAUUAAAAGUGGGUCGCAAACUCAAAAAGUUUAAAAACCCAUGCUGUAAAGCAAACCGUCAGUCAGAUCUUCAGAUUUUUGCUUUUUUAAGUAACUUCGUUAACCUUAAAGUAAACGGGAUGUCAAUCUGUUUUGUUAUUCUAAAAGAAUGCUGUGGCUUGUUGAGAUGGCGAGAGAUAUUAGGAAAAUGAAAAACAGAGUAUAUAGCAUUAGCAGAGGUGAUGCGCCAGUUCGCAAAGAAUCUUCAGUCUUGUUUUAAACAAAUUUAGAAUCCAAAUUUCAGAGAAAUUCCCAGUCAGUAACUUGAGCAAGGGUGGCUUCAGCAAUUGUUGAGCUAUUGCCAAUAAAUAGCCUCCUGUUUUUUUUUGUUUCUCAAGAAAUCCGUGAACUACUUUUUAAGAAAUUCGCGAAUAAUCCAUUGAAACUUUCAGUCAGAACUCCAUCUAGAUACUCUACUCGAUUGUGUAUUUUCAAGCAAAUUUAAAGGUAUCUCAGGGAAAUAUUUUAGCUUUCCAGAAAUGCCUUCACAGUUGUCUUUCGAGUUGUCUUUAUUGAAAAUAUUAAGAAUUUUGAAACAAACACAUCCUAUUUUUAUGAAUUUCAUUAGAGCUCUGCAUUAGAAAAUAAAAUAAUGUUUUCAGAUAAAAUGUUUGACAAAUUUUGUUAGCAUUUGUCUUGAAUUUUUUUUUUGGGAAAUAUUCGCAUAUACAAAAACGAAUAUGAGUUCAAAUUGUACUCAAUUCAAUCCUACUCGAGUAAUGUUACCAGCUUACAUAAGUACAUAAAUUGUGAAAAAAUCGCGUUCUGGUGGGAUUCGAAUCCACGACUUCGUAUUCGCUAGACCGGCGUUUUAACCAACUAAGCCACAGUACAGGUAACAAUUCUGCGGAAUAGAAAGCCGAACUGACUCCGAGCCCACACCAUGAACACUCCUAUUUUCACAAUUCUUCCAAAUUUCAAGUUUUUCGUAGUACGUCUCGACGUACCACUAUGGGCCAGAAAUCAAAAUUUCGCGACAAAAGCCAAAAAAGUAUUUUUUCUAAGAUCAAUCAAUUUUCAUAUUUGUAUGAUUGUUUGGGCUAUGUUUGAUUAUAUACCGACUGAUUUUUUCGAUUUUUAACAAAAUUGUAUCGUUUUUUGUAUGGAGAAUCUUCUUAUAAGCGAAAAAUCUCGAUUUUAACCAAUAUUUAGGAAAAUGUGAUUUGUAGUGAAAAAUGUCCCCAACAAGUAUAACGCAUACAUUUCCUAAAAGUAAAUUUAGUAUAUUUUGCAUAUUUGGUGCACAAAUUGCGAUGCUUUUAAGUUUAAAAAUAAAUUUUACAAUAUUUAUUCAAAUUUUGCGAUUCAUUUGCCAAUGUGUUCAAAAAGUAGGAGUAUUCGACCGUAUUCGAUAUGCAACCGGUCUAGGAUGCUAGUUUAGACUCUUCUUUUUCGAAUGCUUCCGGACUUUUUUGCGGGAAUUUGCGGGAAACCAAGUUAGAGUGAUUUAAGUGCUAUCUUUAAUUUUACAAUAUUUAGCGCUAUGCUUCAAUAAUCAUGUACUCUUGCCAUUACGACGCAAUGACUUUAUGGCUUGCGAAACAAUAUACAUAGCAACAAACAACUACCAUUCUGGAAGAUUUUGUUUCAGAAAUAAAUGUGAUUAUAAGCUUUUAAAUCAAGACCACACGCUUACUCAAUGUGCAAAGUUGCGGUAUAUCAAUCCGUGAGAUCUAUUAGAAUUUUAAAUUAACUCAACAUACAUAUGUACAGAUGGAUACAUUUUUCAUGAAAUAAGGAACAAAUCCACAGCUCAAGUGAGAUUUGAACUCGCGACCCUUAUAUGCCGCAUAAGUGCUUUACCGACUUAGCUACCGAGCCAAUCGAUGACACGGCAUUUUAAAUAUUACAAAGAAAAUCAAAUAGGGGAAAUUGUGUAUUUUCAGAAGUUUUGUUCUCUUCGUCAUGGGGGGUUUCUUGAAAGCUGCUGAACUCAGAGUUGGCCUCAAAUCCUUCCCAACCAAGCAUAGUUGUACGACAAAGUUUCAGAAAAUUUGGCCGACAAAAAACCCCCAUGACGAAGAGAACAAACCUGCCGAUAAUACCCAUCGUCACCCUAUGUCUAUUUAUCGCAAAUAUAUUCAUCCCACUUGUACAUAUGUACGAAGAGCGAGCGUAAUUUAUUCAUUGUUCAAAUACCGGCUCCGAGUUAUUUGGCCGACUGUCAUUUGGCCGAACGCCGUUUGACUGAAUGCCGUUUGGCUGAAGAAGAAACGAUUGUGCCACUGUUCUCGACGUCAGUAUAACUCAAAAUAAUCGCCUAUGAUUAAAAGGAAGAAAAAAACUCUGAUAAAAUAUUGACAGUUUCAACGCCAACUAAUCCCUGAAUUGUAAAACUAGAAAGAAUAGUCAAUGUUUGGAGGAAGGAAGAAGCAAAAAUGAAUGAUGAUCAAAUUGGCAGCUAUAUAGAAUGUGAAAAGGGUUCUCUGAAUUAUUUUGAACAUAAUUCGGCCAAGUGGCAUUCGGCCAAAUGCCGGACAUCUGAAACACCUAAGCAGCGGAUUUUUUCACCAAAAAUUUAUCCAUAUAUACAUAAAUUGAGCUUAUUAAAAAUCAUAAUUCACCACACGAAUUGAUAUACCGAAACUUUGCACUUUAAGUAAGUAUGUGGUAUUGAUUUAACCCUUAUGUGGCCGACAGGGUACCCGGGUACCCAGCACCCAUUAAGAAUACACGGUGUAGAAAAAAGCAAGAAGUUUGUCGGACACAUAAUGGAUAAACGCCUACAAUCACAGUCUUACCUGAAACGAAACCUUCCAGAAUAAUAGUAUUUUGUUGCUAUGUGUAUUGUUUUGCAAGCCAUAAAGAACCGUAAAAUUUGAAUAAAUAUUGUAAACUUUUAAUUUAAACUUAAAGACAUCGCAAUUUGAGCAUCAAAUAUGCGAAAUAUACUAAAUUUACUGUUAGGAAAUGUAGGUGUUAUAUUUGUUGGGCACAUUUUUCAACAAAAAUCACAUUUUUCUUAAUAUUGGUUAAAACCGAGAAUUUUCGCUUAUAAGAAGUUUCUCCAUACAAAAAACAAUACAAAUUUGUUACAAAUCAAACAAAAUCAGUCGGUAUACAUUCUAACAUAGCCCAGACAAUCAUACAUAUAUGAAAAUUGAUUGAUCUAAAAAAAACACUUUUUUGAAUUUUGUCGCGAAAUUUUGAUUUCUGGCCCAUAGUGCGUACCAGCAAAUUGGUACAAGCCUGUAAAGGGAACAUAGAUAUGUUAAUCUUUAUUUUUCAAAGAUAUAUUUAUAUUUCUUGCAAUGCAACACUGCAUUGUACUAAUCCAGUAUUUUCUAUUGAACACUUCCAGCCCGUUUUAGAGCUCUUUUCAGACAAAUUCAGGAAGGAAUUUCAAAGGAGUUUCAGGAAAGUUUACAGAAGUUUUAGCGGAUGUUAAGCCCUUUCGGGAGCAUUUCAGGGUUCUCAUGAAGAAUUCAGGGUUUUUGAAGGGGUAUUAGGAUACACUGAAGUUUUUUUUACGCGUUUUUUUUCGCGGUUUUUUUACGCGGUCCGUCCUAAAAAAACAGCGUUAUUUCAAAAAACCGUCGUAAAAAAAUCCGCGUAUUUUCAAAAACACGCGUAAAAUACUCAGGACCACAUCCACCAUGACUUGACUGUUUUUAUGACGUUUUUUUGAAAUAACGCGGUUUUCUUUUACGAUGGUUUUUGAAAUAACGCGGUUUUUUACGACGUUUUUUAAAAUAACGCGGUUUUUUUUACGCGGGACCAUUACCGUCGUGAAAAAAAAAACUUCAGUGUAUAAGGGUCGUUCUAGGACCUUUUUGAGGCUAUUUAAAGGGUUUUGGUGCGUUCCAGGGGGUUUCAGGCGUUUCAAGAGAUUCGAGAGGCGUUUCAGAAGCAUCGCAUGGGGUUUCAAGUAGGUUUUAGGAGUUGUAAGGGAGAUUUCAGGGCGUUUAAAUGGGUUAAAUGACUUUUCAGACAGUUUUAAGAGGUUUCCGGUGCAUUUCAAGAGAUUAAGGAAGCAUUUCAGGGGGUUUCUGGGUUGUUCUAGGGAGUUCUAGGAUGAUUAUCAUUUAAGGCAAGGCUGCUCAACCUUUAUCGCUGGUUUCAUACAUUUUUGGUCAGUAUGAUUGUAAAAAUGGUCAGAUAUUAGAUCUUUUAGCAUCAAAUGGAAACCUGGUGUAAGAAGACUAAUGGAUGCAUGUAUUGAAACUCAUAUUUAACUUAUCCACUUAGCUACCGUGGCAAUUUAGUCAAAAAAACCCAUCCGGCCCGCGGGUCAGUCUUUUUUUUUGGGUUCAACUGCAUUGGUAGCUAAAAAUUGUCAACAAAUUCUAACUUUUCAACUUGGAUGAGUUAGAUGAAACAAUAAGCUUUCAUUUGAUCGCAAAAUAUUCCAUGUUAAACUUGUUUUGCGAACGUACCGAUUGAAAAUGUCUGAAACAUGCGAAAAAGUUUCGCCAGCCCUGAUUUAACCCUCCUAGGAUGUGAGGUUUAUCGCACCACGAUGGUCUAGUGCACGUUCAGCGUGUGUCCGUCUGGGUCAUAUUGAUCCUAACAUCUUACUAGGGUUAACCGUUUUGAGCCGGAUAAUUUCAUCACUGCUGCCGCAACCUCGCUGGCCUCGAAUACGUUUGUUAUGCUCGCUUUAUUGACCCCUCCGGCUGCAAAGGGUUUAAGGAGUUUUUGAAGCGUUUCAGAGGGUCUCUAUGCGUUCAAAAGGUUUGAGAGGCGUUUUAGAAGCGUCACAAUGGGUUCCAAGAGGUUUUAGGAGGUAUCAAGUCUCCAUCCAGGGCGUUUGAACGGGUUUCAGUGACUUUUCAGAAAGUUUUAGAACAUUGUAGGUGCAUUAGAAGAGGUUUAUUGAGCGUGUUAGAGGAUUGAGGAGCGCGUUAGGGCCCGGGAGUUCAAAGAGGUUUCAGGCCUUUUAAAGUGUUAAAGGGCGUUUCAAGAGGUUUAGAGGUCUUUAAUGAAUUUCUAAGGGGUUCCAGGGAAGAUCAAGGCCUAUUUCGUCUGCUGAAAAAGUUUGUGAGUCGCAGACGAAAUAGGCCUAUCUGUCCGAAGAUAAUCACUGUAGUGGAAUUAAAAUAAAUUGCUCAUUCUUUCUAGUUUUUCUUUAAAAGUUAAAAAUGUUACUUUGAAGUUUUAUUUUUAUUUAACUAAUGUUUCAAGUGAAAAAGUUUUGCUAGAAGUUCCAAAGCGAUAGUGAAAUGUGAAAAUUUUAGGAGGCUUCAGUGAGAUUCCAGGGCGUUCCAAGGGGUUUUAGUAGCAUUUCUGAAAGUUUUAAGAGGUUUAGGGAACAUAUCAGGGGGUUUCAAAAAGAUUUCAGGCAGUUUUAACGUAUUUGAGGGCGUUUCCAACAAUUUAAAGGGAUUUUCAGAAAAGUUUCAGGGAAUUUUAAGGCCAUUCGAGAGCAUUUCAGGGUUUGAAGAACGUUUAUUGGCGUCAGGGUCGUUCUAGGGCCCGUACCUGAUCUUUUAAGGGUUUUUAGCGCUUCAGGGGGUUUCGAGCGGUUUUCAAGAUGUUCCCAAGCAGCACCCACAACAUCAUCCAAAAUGUGUCUUUCUAUGCUUUGGCCCAAAUGAGUUACUCUAAAAUCACACGCAACUUCCAUCUUGUCGAUUGAGUUGCAUUUGAACUCCGAAUUUCGUAAAGUUACGGCUUUUUUCAUAAGAACCACAAAUUACCUCGUAUUUCACAUCGAUUAAUGUAGGCGGAGCUUACAUAUUCCUCGCAAGUGACAAUACAGUCAGCUUGCAUAAAAUGUGCUAUGUAACUCACAUGAAACAUCUUACUUUAGUUUGUUUGUUCAGAUUAGGUUCCAAAUGUUUUGCGCAAAACUUGCGCGUAUUUUCAUUUUGACAGUUCUCUAACUUGUGACAAACAAAGUUCAAUGAAGUAACACGUAACUUCAGUAGCUUUUAUGGUGUGUUGAGCAGCAAUUCUCAUACAGAGCUGCUGGUGUAGUAUGUAAGGCGAGUGGUCAAUACUCCUGGUGUCCAUGGUUUGAGUCUGAACAUGUUUUUUUCCUUUUUAAUCAUUCCCCUAGCAAGUUGCAUAACGAUUUAAAAUCUGCGCUUUUUGCGUUUCAAAGAAGAAGCAAUUGUGUUCUGUGGUCCUUAAUACGUACAGUAAAUACAUUGCAUUGAUGAUACUGUUACUGGCUUUGUAACGUGGUUACAAUAUUGCAAUUAAUUGCUCGUUUUAAUAAUCUCGAUUGAUCAUCUUUUCGCCAUGAAAAGUCGGAUCUAAAUCGUACCCUAAACGAAGCAGACAUAUUCAUGCCAUAUUUUAUACGACGAUAGCGCCGCUCGGUGGUCGAUAUUGAAACCACCCAUCUCCUAUCUCAAAGCAGCUAUGAACUCACUCAAUUUCUUAGAUUCAUUUCUUCAGACUGAUGAGUUAUUUUAACGGAUUUUGGAUUGUGUAUAAUAAUCUAUUAUCCAAAGGACAAAAAAAUCUUAUCAAGAGUCUUUCCGAGUGAAACGGUGAUACAAAGCGGACGUGGUCCAAAAUUGUUCAGUGGAAUUUUUAGAAAAAAGUUGAAGUGACUGUUAGCCGUUUGAAAAUGUUUUAAAUCGGAGUCUUGGAAAAUUGUGGAAGCUAAU